GCCUUGUUGGCUAAGUGGUAUAGCGUCUCACUAGUAUAGUGGCAUGAGAAGAUCGGCGGUUCGAUUCCGCCACGAGGCA
RNAcentral lists this transfer RNA (79 nucleotides) under Colletotrichum salicis. It matches the Rfam family "tRNA". Rfam says of the family: Transfer RNA (tRNA) molecules are approximately 80 nucleotides in length. Their secondary structure includes four short double-helical elements and three loops (D, anti-codon, and T loops). Further hydrogen bonds mediate the characteristic L-shaped molecular structure. tRNAs have two regions of fundamental functional importance: the anti-codon, which is responsible for specific mRNA codon recognition, and the 3' end, to which the tRNAs corresponding amino acid is attached (by aminoacyl-tRNA synthetases). tRNAs cope with the degeneracy of the genetic code in two manners: having more than one tRNA (with a specific anti-codon) for a particular amino acid; and 'wobble' base-pairing, i.e. permitting non-standard base-pairing at the 3rd anti-codon position. The record is from Rfam by way of RNAcentral. Lineage: Eukaryota; Fungi; Ascomycota; Sordariomycetes; Glomerellales; Glomerellaceae.